UACAGAGGGUGCGAGCGUUAAUCGGAAUUACUGGGCGUAAAGCGUGCGUAGACGGUAGCGUAAGUCAGAUGUGAAAGCCCCGGGCUCAACCUGGGAACUGCAUUUGAGACUGCUCUGCUCGGGUGCGGAAGAGGGAAGCGGAAUUUCCGGUGUGGCGGUGAAAUGCGUAGAUAUCGGAAGGAACACCAGUGGCGAAAGCGGCUUCCUGGUCCGACACCGACGUUCAGGCACGAAAGCGUGGGGAGCAAACAGG
Molecule: ribosomal RNA, 253 nt
Filed under: uncultured bacterium
Lineage: Bacteria
Description: partial 16S ribosomal RNA
Rfam family: Bacterial small subunit ribosomal RNA
Source: RNAcentral